GCGCCGCUAAAGUAGUGGUAUCAUGCAAGAUUCCUAUUCUUGUGACUCGGGUUCGACUCCCGGGCUGCGCA
Molecule: non-coding RNA, 71 nt
Organism: Caerostris darwini
Lineage: Eukaryota; Metazoa; Arthropoda; Arachnida; Araneae; Araneidae
Source: the annotation of a GenBank genome assembly